This is a long non-coding RNA of Papaver somniferum (opium poppy), 2079 nucleotides long. RefSeq lists it as uncharacterized. The record is from RefSeq and is a predicted model, not a curated record. NCBI's taxonomy places the organism in Eukaryota, Viridiplantae, Streptophyta, Magnoliopsida, Ranunculales, Papaveraceae. The transcript is spliced from 5 exons.
UGGGGUACCAAAUGAGAAGUUCGUUUGGUUUUUUCCGUAGGUUUGUUUCAUAUAGGUUUGGAAUUGUGACAUCUGAUUUAGGGUUUUUGUGAUUUUGAAUUUGUAGCUCUACCAAUCUAGUCGUCUAGUUCUAAUAGUGUUUCUUAGCCUGUCAUUUUUAGUGAUUGUUGGAUUUUUAGUGGUGGGUGAUGCUGCUUGGGGUGGUGGAUGCUGGUGUUCAUUGGUUGGUGGUGUAGAGAGCUUUGAAGUUAAAUAUAAUAUAUACUACUGUGAUGGAUUUGUGGCUUAGCUUAAGUUAGAAAGGCUCACAGUAUCCAUUUUUUGCAUUGUUGCUUAUUAUGAGUAUAGAUUUCUUGCAUUUCUAUCAGGAAAAUUGGGAUUUGCAUUUAUGUACUAUUAACACUCCUAAGAAAUUGAGUCAGGCGAGAUUUUGAGCUGGAAUUCAGGUGGAAGUGAAGCUGUUGCUGUCCAUUUCUGUGUGUAUAUUUCAAGUGUUUAUGAAUGAUUUAUGAAGACAAGGAAAUGAGAAGGGAGAAGUGGCUGUAAUAUGGUGGUUUUGAGCUCGAGUUUGGGGCUGAAAUGGGUUCAAUUUGGAGUUGAUUUUGCUUGGAAGAUUUGGGUAUGAAAUGAAUUCGUUAAUGGAGGCGAAGUUGUUCGAAUUGGAGGAGAUAUGUUUGAAAUGAUGAAGCUGGUGGUAAUGGUUCGAAUGAGUGGUGGUUUGAUCAAAUUUGGCAGUGAAGAUUUAGGAGCUAAAAAUCGGUAAAGAGAAGCUGUUAAUGCCAUGGAUUCUGUGGGUUAUUUGGGUCAAUCAGUUGCUCGAGUAUGUGUGAUGGUUGUAGCUCAAGUUGCAGGCUGAAGUGGGUUGAAUUCUGAAGCUUAAAGUGAAAUCCAUAGAUGUGGUUGCAGUCUGGGGUUUAUUGAGAAGGUGCAAAGGGUUAUACAGCAAAGAAGAGGAGCUGAAGCCGUUGGUCUACGGUGAUGAAUGAUAGUGAUUGUGGAUGUUCGCAAAAACUGGAAGCUGGGGAUAGCAUGGAUUUUUUGGUACAGAGUGGUUCGAAGAAAUGGCUCAGUGGUUCUUUGUUCGUUGGUUGUUAAUGACAUUUGUUCUGGUAUCUGCAUUGGUGAAGGUCUGGUGGACUAUUUUAGAAGGUCCUGGCAAUAGCUAGGAUUCAUGCUUAGAAGGCAACGGGUAGUUCGAAAACAGGGUGGCGCUUACACCCUUUGGAGUAGUGAAUCUGGAAGAUCCACCUUUGGACCCAUUCUUUGUACACACUUUUCACAAUAUGUUCUGAAACAAGAAAACAGAUUAGUGUAGGGAGUCGGGAGCCAGUUAUUGUCAGCUGCUCGGUCGAGGAAGACUUUAUCCAAAAUCAUCAGUCACUAACAGCUUACUCUAUGUAGAAAAUGCAGAUGUAAGCAUUUCAGUCACUAGUUUCUUCACAAUCAUCAUCCACCAACAGCUUAUUCUCUGUCCAUAGGUUUGGGUGUUCUUCCUUUGCGUGGUGGGUAUAACACCUUUGGCUGAGCAUUUAAAAUAUGCCACUAACUAUGUAGGCAAUUAGCUUACUACAUGGGACUACUGAUUUGUCAAGAGGAGAUCAUGCCAAAGGUGGGGUCUAGCAGAGGUCGUGGUAGAGAUGCACCAAGUGCCAGUUCAGGUAAAACUAUUAAUACUGGUGGGAGAGCUUCACUUAAGCACAAGUGCUGGAACUGGAACAACUAGGGGCAGUGGUGGAAGUAGUACAACUACACGGAGUGGAAGAAGGGGCAAAACAACAUUUUGGAUGCCAUAAACUAUUAGAUCAUCUCAACUUAUCUCUGUUUGCAUGGCGCCCUUCCCUGUGCAAAAACUAGAGACUGCAAAACUUGGCGAAAAGGUCCCUCAGCAUCUUUUUCCUCGCAAGGUGAUACUUUUGAGCUGUAGCAUUCUAAAUCCUUUCAUUUGCUUCCUUUCAUGCUACUAUUUAUCUAUCUGAUGUUUCAUGUGAUGCUGAGAUGGUAUAAGAAUUACAAUUGAUGUUCCUUCCACAGUUCUAGUAAUUCUAAUAACAUUAUUGAAUUCAUUGUGUAUGAAAUUAA